UACGUAGGUGGCGAGCGUUAUCCGGAAUGAUUGGGCGUAAAGCGCGCGUAGGCUGUUGUGUAAGUUGGGGGUGAAAUCCCACGGCUCAACCGUGGAACAGCCCUUGAUACUGCGCGACUUGAAUCCGGGAGAGGGUGGCGGAAUUCCAGGUGUAGGAGUAAAAUGCGUAGAUAUAUGGAAGAACACCAGUGGCGAAGGCGGCCGCCUGGCCUGUUGCUGACGCUGAGGCACGAAAGCGUGGGGAGCAAAUAGG
RNAcentral lists this ribosomal RNA (253 nucleotides) under uncultured Desulfovibrio sp. Its description in RNAcentral is "partial 16S ribosomal RNA". It matches the Rfam family "Bacterial small subunit ribosomal RNA", at positions 524 to 776 of the family's 1533-position model. Lineage: Bacteria; Pseudomonadati; Thermodesulfobacteriota; Desulfovibrionia; Desulfovibrionales; Desulfovibrionaceae. The record is from RNAcentral.